RNAcentral lists this ribosomal RNA (788 nucleotides) under uncultured Lactobacillus sp. Its description in RNAcentral is "bacterial SSU rRNA". It matches the Rfam family "Bacterial small subunit ribosomal RNA", at positions 28 to 776 of the family's 1533-position model. Lineage: Bacteria; Bacillati; Bacillota; Bacilli; Lactobacillales; Lactobacillaceae. The record is from RNAcentral.
GACGAACGCUGGCGGCGUGCCUAAUACAUGCAAGUCGAGCGAGCUUGCCUAGAUGAAUUUGGUGCUUGCACCAAAUGAAACUAGAUACAAGCGAGCGGCGGACGGGUGAGUAACACGUGGGUAACCUGCCCAAGAGACUGGGAUAACACCUGGAAACAGAUGCUAAUACCGGAUAACAACACUAGACGCAUGUCUAGAGUUUAAAAGAUGGUUCUGCUAUCACUCUUGGAUGGACCUGCGGUGCAUUAGCUAGUUGGUAAGGUGACGGCUUACCAAGGCAAUGAUGCAUAGCCGAGUUGAGAGACUGAUCAGCCACAUUGGGACUGAGACACGGCCCAAACUCCUACGGGAGGCAGCAGUAGGGAAUCUUCCACAAUGGACGCAAGUCUGAUGGAGCAACGCCGCGUGAGUGAAGAAGGGUUUCGGCUCGUAAAGCUCUGUUGGUAGUGAAGAAAGAUAGAGGUAGUAACUGGCCUUUAUUUGACGGUAAUUACUUAGAAAGUCACGGCUAACUACGUGCCAGCAGCCGCGGUAAUACGUAGGUGGCAAGCGUUGUCCGGAUUUAUUGGGCGUAAAGCGAGUGCAGGCGGUUCAAUAAGUCUGAUGUGAAAGCCUUCGGCUCAACCGGAGAAUUGCAUCAGAAACUGUUGAACUUGAGUGCAGAAGAGGAGAGUGGAACUCCAUGUGUAGCGGUGGAAUGCGUAGAUAUAUGGAAGAACACCAGUGGCGAAGGCGGCUCUCUGGUCUGCAACUGACGCUGAGGCUCGAAAGCAUGGGUAGCGAACAGG